This 249-nucleotide unclassified non-coding RNA is filed under the name uncultured fungus. RNAcentral's name for it is "partial contains 5.8S ribosomal RNA, internal transcribed spacer 2, and large subunit ribosomal RNA". The stretch from base 1 to 52 matches the Rfam family "5.8S ribosomal RNA", at positions 103 to 154 of the family's 154-position model. The record is from RNAcentral. Lineage: Eukaryota; Fungi.
AACGCACAUUGCGCCCUCUGGUAUUCCGGAGGGCAUGCCUGUUCGAGCGUCAUAUAACGACUAUCAAGCACAGCUUGGCCUUAGGCUUUCGUCCCUGCAACGGGGCGGGCCUUAAAUACUUUGGCGGUGGCAUCGAGCCUCGAGCGUAGUAAAUAUUCCGCUUUUAGAGGUCUCGUGGUCGCUUGCUUCCAGAACCCCAAACUUCUAAGUAUUGACCUCGGAUCAGGUAGGGAUACCCGCUGAACUUAA